CAGAGGCGUCCGGCGCGGGGAAAAUCUAGCUCGGGGAUUUCAUGCGGCCUAGCUCGGUUCCGCCUCCUCCCCGCGCGGCCCCGGCGGCUGCCCGCACCCCAGCCCCACUCCGGGCCUCCGUGUCUCUCCUGUGAUCGCACUGACAUGGCCGGGGGGUUAGAAUGGAACAAACUGAAGGCCUGAUGAGAGAAAGGGAAAGUUAAGGAUGCUGGAGCAGAACAAUGGAUUUCUCUUUCAUGCGAGGGAUCAUGGGAAACACAAUUCAGCAACCACCUCAACUCAUUGACUCCACCAACAUCCGUCAGGAGGAUGCCUUUGAUAACAACAGUGACAUUGCUGAAGAUGGUGGCCAGACACCCUAGGAAGCUACCUUGCAGCAAGGUUUUCAGUACCCAGCUACAACAGAAGAUCUUCCUCCACUCACAAAUGGCUAUCCAUCAUCAGUCAGCAUGUAUGAACCUCAAACCAAAUACCAGUCGUAUAAUCAAUAUCCUAAUGGGUCAGCCAGUGGCUUUGGUGCAGUUAGAAACUUUAGCCCCACUGACUAUUACCAUUCGGAAAUUCCAAACACAAGACCACAUGAAAUUCUGGAAAAACCUUCCCCUCCACAGCCACCACCUCCUCCUUCGGUACCACAAACGGUGAUUCCAAAGAAGACUGGCUCACCUGAAAUUAAACUAAAAAUCACCAAAACUAUCCAGAAUGGCAGGGAAUUGUUUGAGCCUUCCCUUUGUGGAGACCUUUUAAAUGAAGUACAGGCAAGUGAGCACACCAAGUCAAAGCAUGAAAGCAGAAAAGAAAAGAGAAAAAAAAAGCAACAAGCAUGACUCAUCGAGAUCUGAAGAGCGCAAGUCACACAAAAUCCCCAAAUUAGAACCAGAGGAACAAAAUAGACCAAAUGAGAGGGUUGACAGUGUAGCAGAAAAACCAAGGGAAGAUCCAGUACUAAAAGAGGAAGCCCCGGUUCAGCCAAUACUAUCUUCUCUUCCAACAACCGAAGUGUCCACUGGUGUUAAGUUUCAGGUUGGUGAUCUUGUGUGGUCCAAGGUGGGAACCUAUCCUUGGUGGCCUUGUAUGGUUUCAAGUGAUCCCCAGCUUGAGGUUCAUACCAAAAUUAACACAAGAGCUGCACGAGAAUAUCAUGUCCAGUUUUUUAGCAACCAGCCAGAGAGAGCGUGGGUUCAUGAAAAACGGGUACGGUAGUAUAAAGGUCAUAAACAGUAUGAAGAAUUACUGGCUGAGGCAACCAAACAAGCCAGCAAUCACUCUGAGAAACAAAAGAUUCGGAAACCCCGACCUCAGAGAGAACGUGCUCAGUGGGAUAUUGGCAUUGCCCAUGCAGAGAAAGCAUUGAAAAUGACUAGAGAAGAAAGAAUAGAACAGUAUACUUUUAUCUAUAUUGAUAAACAGCCUGAAGAGGCUUUAUCCCAAGCAGAAAAGAAUGUUGCCUCCAAAACUGAAGUUAAAAAAACCCGACAACCUGGAUCUGUGCUGAAUACUCAACCAGAACAGACCAAUGAAGGGGAGGUGGCCUCCUCACUCUCAAGUACUGAAAUUCGGAGCCAUAGCCAGAGGCGGCACACAAGUGUGGAAGAGAAAGAGCCACCUCCUGUUAAAAUAGCCUGGAAAACUGCGGCAGCAAGGAAAUCCUUACCAGCUUCCAUUACAAUGCACAAAGGGAGCCUGGAUUUGCAGAAGUGUAACAUGACUCCAGUUGUGAAAAUUGAACAAGUGUUUGCUCUUCAGAAUGCUACAGGGGAUGGGAAAGUUAUCGAUCCAUUUGUUUACUCAACAAAGGGAAUUGGUAACAAAACAGAAAUAAGUGUCAGGGGGCAAGACAGGCUCAUAAUUUCUACACCAAACCAGAGAAAUGAAAAGCCAACGCAGAGUGUAUCAUCUCCUGAAGCAACAUCUGGUUCUACAGGCUCAGUAGAAAAGAAGCAACAGAGAAGAUCAAUUAGAACUCGUUCUGAAUCAGAGAAAUCCACUGAGGUCGUGCCAAAGAAGAAGAUCAAAAAGGAGCAGGUUGAAAUAGUUCAUCAGGCUACAGUGAAGACUGGAUUACAGAAAGGGUCGGAGGACCGGGGAGUGCAGGGCUCUGUCAGAUUCAGUGACAGCUCCGUCUCCGCAGCGAUUGAGGAAACUGUGGACUAAGAUUUCUGUACAAUUUCAUCCCAGAAACUCCAGACUUGUAGUCUCCAUGCAAGAUUUCUUCGUCGGCGGCUCGAUAAAAAGUUUCUUUGUUUUCGAUUUUGAUUUUGCCAAUCAUCAUUAUUGGCAUUUUCCUGCCUGGUUUCUUCUUCAAGACUCUGAACAAUUGCUUUAACAUUCAAGUGAUUUUUUUUUUCGGUUUGAGCUGGAUGGGUACAGCUUAAAUCAUGGGUCCAAGCCUGAAAACCACCAUUUAACUUACACUGAUCAAUUUCAACAUGGACUGUUUUUUUUUUUUUUUUUUUAAAUAAAGCAUCAUUAAUGCACAUCUGCAGGGCUUUGCCAAACAGCCCAAACUGUAUACAUUACAAUCAUUAAAAGUUCUUAUUUUUUUUAA
Molecule: non-coding RNA, 2548 nt
Organism: Callithrix jacchus (white-tufted-ear marmoset)
Lineage: Eukaryota; Metazoa; Chordata; Mammalia; Primates; Cebidae
Source: RefSeq, a predicted model, not a curated record